This 253-nucleotide ribosomal RNA is filed under the name uncultured bacterium. Its description in RNAcentral is "partial 16S ribosomal RNA". It matches the Rfam family "Bacterial small subunit ribosomal RNA", at positions 524 to 776 of the family's 1533-position model. The record is from RNAcentral.
UACGUAGGGUGCAAGCGUUGUCCGGAAUUAUUGGGCGUAAAGAGCUCGUAGGCGGCCGACUAAGUCGGGUGUGAAAGCCCAGGGCUCAACCCUGGAAGUGCACUCGAAACUGACCGGCUUGAAUAUGGAAGAGGGUCGCGGAAUUCCCGGUGUAGAGGUGAAAUUCGUAGAUAUCGGGAGGAACACCAGUGGCGAAGGCGGCGACCUGGGCCAAUAUUGACGCUGAGGUGCGAAAGCGUGGGGAGCAAACAGG